RNAcentral lists this ribosomal RNA (200 nucleotides) under uncultured bacterium. RNAcentral's name for it is "partial 16S ribosomal RNA". It matches the Rfam family "Bacterial small subunit ribosomal RNA", at positions 8 to 212 of the family's 1533-position model. The record is from RNAcentral.
AGAGUUUGAUCAUGGCUCAGGACGAACGCUGGCGGCGUGCCUAAUACAUGCAAGUCGAGCGAUCCCUUCGGGGAUAGCGGCGGACGGGUGAGUAACACGUAGGCAACCUGCCUGCAAGAUCGGGAUAACUACCGGAAACGGUAGCUAAGACCGGAUAGGUGGUCUUUUCGCAUGGAGAGAUCAAGAAACACGGAGCAAUC